UGGUGGAGUGAUUUGUCUGGUUAAUUCCGUUAACGAACGAGACCUCGACCUGCUAAAUAGUUCGAUGAACUCCUUGUGAUUCAUGCUAACUUCUUAGAGGGACUAUCGGUGUUUAGCCGAUGGAAGUUCGAGGCAAUAACA
This 141-nucleotide ribosomal RNA is filed under the name uncultured eukaryote. RNAcentral's name for it is "partial 18S ribosomal RNA". It matches the Rfam family "Eukaryotic small subunit ribosomal RNA", at positions 1299 to 1458 of the family's 1831-position model. The record is from RNAcentral.